GACGAACGCUGGCGGCGUGCUUAACACAUGCAAGUCGAACGGAAAGGACCUGCUUUUGUGGGGUGCUCGAGUGGCGAACGGGUGAGUAACACGUGAGUAACCUGCCCUUGACGUUGGGAUAACUUCAGGGAACUGGGGCUAAUAACGGAUAGGAGAUUCUGCUGCAUGGUGGGGGUUGGAAAGUUUUGGCGGCUGGGGAUGGGUUCGCGGGGUAGCAUUUUGUUGGUGGGGUAGUGGCUUACCAAGGCGUUGACGGGUGGCCGGCCUGAGAGGGGGACCGGCCACAUGGGGAGUGAGAUACGGCCGGGACCCCUACGGAAGGCAGCGGAGGGGAAGAUAGCACAAUGGGCGGAAGCCUGAUGCAGCAACGCGGCGUGCGGGAUGACAGCCUUCGGUGUAAAAGCCGCUUGGGCCUGUGACAAAGCGUAAGUGACGGUAAUGGGUAAAAAAGCACCGGCUAACUACGUG
RNAcentral lists this ribosomal RNA (468 nucleotides) under uncultured bacterium. RNAcentral describes it as "partial 16S ribosomal RNA". It matches the Rfam family "Bacterial small subunit ribosomal RNA", at positions 28 to 507 of the family's 1533-position model. The record is from RNAcentral.